AAUCUUUUUGAAGAAUGUGAACAGUACCAUUCACUGGUAAAAAAUGUAACCAAGAGAGUUCUGCAGUGUUGUUAAUUUCUGCUGGAUAUUCACAGUAGGAAUUAUACUUGUAAAUUUUGUGUGUAUGUGAAAAGUCUUAAUUUGAAAGUUUGCUAAGCAACAAAUCCUUGAAAUAGAACGGGCUGCAACUCUGCUCUGCCUGGAAAGUACACAUGCAUGAAGAAAUUGGAGAGCUGCUUCAUCAGUGCCAAUCCAUACUGUGCUUGGUCUCAUGAAAAGGAUCUUAUUGAUGAAUUAGUGCAGCUGCCCUCCCAGCCAUGGAAGAAUACCUCAUACAAAAAAAUCCAUAGGUGACUAAAAAGUGUGAGGAUGAAUUGCUGUCUGCUAAGGGAAGUUUGUCAUCUGAGGUAUUCCUGCACAUCUGGUCACCUUCCACGGAGUGCUUAAAGAGAACCACGGUACCAGAGAGGAGAGCACCUUUCAAAGGACUCGCUGGAUUUCUGAUGGCAAACAUCAAAACAAAACGAGCUUUGUUUCAAAGACACACAAAGUGAUGGUGAAAGGGAAGUGGAAACUUCAGCCAUGACCCCCACAGAAACAACAGGACAUCCAGUAAGUUCUGUGGUAGAUUCAACUGCAGAUUGCAUUACCCAAGCAGCAGAGUGAGAGAGCUGAGGAAACCCAAA
This 686-nucleotide long non-coding RNA is filed under the name Chloebia gouldiae (Gouldian finch). RNAcentral describes it as "Erythrura gouldiae (Gouldian finch) lncRNA (ENSEGOG00005002265.1)". Lineage: Eukaryota; Metazoa; Chordata; Aves; Passeriformes; Passeridae. The record is from RNAcentral.